Fopius arisanus is the source of this 519-nucleotide long non-coding RNA. RefSeq lists it as uncharacterized. The transcript is spliced from 3 exons. The record is from RefSeq and is a predicted model, not a curated record. NCBI's taxonomy places the organism in Eukaryota, Metazoa, Arthropoda, Insecta, Hymenoptera, Braconidae.
UCGAUUUUCUCCAUCGAUUUGCGUCACAAUUUCGCUCUCCCGAUAUUCGCAAUAUCAUUUUUUCAACCGAAAAUACGAUUUAAUCUCAUUGGGUAAUGACUGCUGCAAUGAUCAGUUAGUCUGGGAAAUUUAUACCUGACACCCAUGAAUUUUUCGCAUUGGUCUAAUUAUCAUUCACCGUUGGAUAAACACUUAUUAUCGUCGUAAACUCAUUGCAUAAUUCGCGGUGAGCUGGUGAUGCUUGAGGACGAAGGACCCUGACCUGUCCCAACAAAAUUACUCCGUGUACAAUAUUCUUAAUUUUUCAUUUGAAUUUUUGGUAAGCCACUGGGAUUCUUUCACCUUUGGGAAAGGCAAUUUUUCGGACAUUUCUGCUCAACCAUUUUUUAAAAAUCAAUUAAAAAUGGCGAUCAUUCUUCUCAGUCUUCAGGGAUUUCAUCAUCUUCAAAACAAUGAAGAUUUUUUGGAAACUUCGAGCAGACUAGAUGGCGAGUGAAGUCUCAAGAAAUUUUCCAUUCA